Hypoxylon fuscum is the source of this 84-nucleotide non-coding RNA. NCBI's taxonomy places the organism in Eukaryota, Fungi, Ascomycota, Sordariomycetes, Xylariales, Hypoxylaceae. The record is from the annotation of a GenBank genome assembly.
AGUGCCUUAGAGAAGUGGCUCAACUCAUUCCCUUUAGGCUUGAAAACUUGGGAGAGGUCGGGGGUUCGAUUCCCUCAGGCACCC